RNAcentral lists this ribosomal RNA (507 nucleotides) under uncultured Glomeromycotina. RNAcentral's name for it is "partial small subunit ribosomal RNA". It matches the Rfam family "Eukaryotic small subunit ribosomal RNA", at positions 591 to 1092 of the family's 1831-position model. The record is from RNAcentral. Lineage: Eukaryota; Fungi; Glomeromycota.
CCAAUAGCGUAUAUUAAAGUUGUUGCAGUUAAAAAGCUCGUAGUUGAAUUUCGGGAUUGACGUGAUGGUCAUGCCUUAAGGGGUAUGAACUGUUACUGUUGAUUUCUCACCUUCUGGAGAAACUUGAUGUCCUUUAUUGGGUGUCUUGCGGAUCCAGGACCUUUACCUUGAAAAAAUUAGAGUGUUUAAAGCAGGCAUUUUUGCUCGAAUACAUUAGCAUGGAAUAAUAGAAUAGGACGGCAUGGUUCUAUUUUGUUGGUUUCUAGGAUCACCGUAAUGAUUAAUAGGGAUAGUUGGGGGCAUUAGUACUCAAUUGUCAGAGGUGAAAUUCUUGGAUUUAUUGAAGACUAACUACUGCGAAAGCAUUUGCCAAGGAUGUUUUCAUUAAUCAAGAACGAAAGUUAGGGGAUCGAAGACGAUCAGAUACCGUCGUAGUCUUAACCAUAAACUAUGCCGACUAGGAAUCAGACGAUGUUAAUUUUUUAAUGACUCGUUUGGCACCUUACG